Molecule: long non-coding RNA, 7747 nt
Organism: Meriones unguiculatus (Mongolian gerbil)
Lineage: Eukaryota; Metazoa; Chordata; Mammalia; Rodentia; Muridae
Exons: 4
Source: RefSeq, a predicted model, not a curated record
GCUGGGAUACAAAGUGAAUAAACUAAUUAAUAAAAAACAAAACAAAAAUUAAGAAAAGGCAGAUUUUCACACAGGUGGAUCUCUGGGAGCCACUGGGUGGCCAGGCUAGCUGAAUCAGUAGGCUUCAGGUUCAGUGAGAGACACUGUCUCAAAGACUAAAGUGGAGAGCAAAAGAGGACGGCCCUGGACAUUCACCUCCAGCCUCCACACACGUGUGCAUAUGUGUACAUGCGCCUCCCCACACACGCAUCCAUAAAAACAAAUUAUGUUUUGACAUUUAAAAUUAGUGUCAAAAGCGAUCAAAAUCUUAGUUAACGGUUUCUGAAAAAAAAAAAAUUCUAAAAUUACCGCAAACAUCGUAUCUUACUGCUUGUGCAUUCCACUUUCUGGACGUGUGAUGAGUUCCUUAUCAUGGAUUUCACCAUCUCGAGUUAUUACCAGGAUGCCAGCUUCUGAUAAACCUCUUAACAAGUGUGGAAUUGGAGCCAAGAUAAUAUGUCGUUAAAAGUCAGAUUUAUGUGAACGAGUGAAGGAGUGGCUGGAGCAGGGUGUACCCUCUUUCCACAAACAACUAAAAAUCAGGGAAAAAAAACCAUUUGAAACAGCUCUUUGUGGUCAUUGAACAAUAACUGUGAGGAACUGGCAUCGAUGGAGGAAGAGAAAGCAGAGGUGAGAGGAUCUGAAGUUUCUAGAAACAGAGAUAAACAUCUGAGGUCAAGGUGACUGAAACGGAGUGCCAGAAAGGGUAGGACUUUGCAGGAACCUCUCCAGAUUCCUCAUUCCUGCAUCCUUGAUGUACCAGUACCAGUGCAGACUGAAAUCAAAACCCACCAGGCUGCGAAGAGAGUCACUGAAAGAGGCUUAACCCCAGACAGUUCCCAGUGCUCAUGAGGUCACGAAUCACACGAGUUUCUAGCCAGCAGAGCGAAGAAGAGCCCUCGCUCAACACAAAGGCCUUCGCUGUGGCGUGUGCCUUAGCUGUGGGAGUAAAACGGCCAUGGUUGGGGCUAGACAGAUGGCUCAGCACUUAAGAGUAUGUGCUGCUCUUUUGCAGAGGACUUGGGUUCAGUUCCCAGAACCAACUUCAUGCAGCUUAUGACCACCUGUAAUUCCAGUUCCAGGGGAUCCAACACCCUUUAGGCUCUGCAGGUCCCUGCACACAUGUGAAAUAAACUCACAGAGGCACACACACACGCGCACGCACGCAAACACACAUAAACUAAAAAAUAAACACUUAGAAUGGCAAUUGAUUAAAGGUUGCUCCUCAGUAGCCUUUACUGGAGCUGGUGCUAGCCUCAAAGCAUCCCACUGGUGUGUGGGCACCUUAACUGCCCUCCAACACAAACUCCCAUACUGUGAGAGGACGGCAAUGAGACCUAAACACUCACCACUGCAACUCACGGAGUUGCACCUUAAAUAAUGACAUCUUCAGAUAUGCAAAGAAGCAUCAAACUGUUACAAAGUCAAGAGCAAAGUCAACUGAUAAAAACACAUUUAAGAACUGCAGAGGUGAGGGAAUCAAACGAUAAACAUUUUUUUAAAGAUUUAACUUAAACAAUUUUUAAAAAAUUGUCUGUGUCGUUUGUGUGACUGGGUGUGGGUGCAGUGCCCACAGAGGCUAAAAGAGGAGAACAUCAGACAUCCUAGACCUGGAGUGGCAGGCAGUUGUGAGCUGGAACCAAAGUUGGGUUCUUGGCAAGAUCGGCUCCUCAUAAGCCGUGGCUCCAGUUCCACUUUUUUUCUUUUUUCUUUCUUUCUUUCUUUCUUUCUUUCUUUCUUUCUUUCUUUCUUUCUUUCUUUCUUUCUUUUUUUUUUUUUUUUUCAGAUAAAGAAAGGAGGGAAUUCAUGCCUGGUUCUGGAAAUCUAGCCAAUUACAAAAGGCUAGUGAGGUCGUGAAUCUUAGAGAUGAGCCUACUGCAGCCGCUUCACUAGACCAUCACAAUUCCUAACAACAGUCCAAAUAACUCUCCAGAUACCCACACGUAGCUCCUAUUCCAUAUCAAGGAAGCUUCCUUUUGCAGCAGAUAGAGUCCGUUACAGAAAGCCACGAGUGGUCAAUAUGAGAAGAACUGAGCAUGGGGAGCCACCCCCAAGCAAUGCAUUUAUAGCACAAACAACCCCUACACCGUAGGGGUUCGGGGGACAUGGAAGGAGGGAGGGCAAACGACUGGAAGAGCCAGAGGACCAGCAAGCCUUUUUGUAUCUUCAGGACUGUAUCCUCCAUAUGCAUCUCCUCUAUCUGACAGGAAAGCUGUACUCAGGAAAUGUCUGCCUUUGUGGCCGCCUAAGCAGGACCUGGGCAAAGACGACAGCAGAUGACGCCUUAACAUUGAGAAUGGAAAUCUCCCGGGACUCUGCUCCUAAAGGAAGGGCUUUAGGAAAGGCUCCUAAAGGAAGUAGGUAAUUAAUGGCUGCUGAGAGAAGCAGAGUUGUUAUUAAAAUACGUAAAUAAAUAAAUAAAUAAUCUGAGGAGUUAAAGGAAAAGGUGACUAUAACAAAGAAAAACAAAAGUGUAAGGUAAAAAAGAACCAGCAGGGUUAGACCAGCAGUCAAGGCUGCGCUCUUGAGUCCUGAGAUUGAGCCGUCAAUCCCAGCAUCCACAUAGAGUGACUCAUAAUGCAUGUCACUCCAGCUCCGGGAGAAUCCAGCACCCUCUUCUGGCCGUAAGAGGCACCUGCACAUACAUGAGCUCACAUACUCACACAGGCACAGACACAAAGACACAAAUACACACACACACACACACACACGUUCAAAUACACAGACACAUUAAAAAUCUAUGUUCUCUAUAUAAGAGAACACAUGGUGUUUGUGUAAGUUUAGUUUAUUUCCCUUAAUAUAAUUUUUCCACUUUCAUUUUCCUAUAAAUGUUUCUAGCAGCUUUAAAAAAAAAUGUGGAUGUGUGUUUCUCUGGCAUGCCUGGGACCUGCAGAAACCAGAAGAGGGUAAUGGAUACGCUGAGACUGGAGUUACAGAUGGUUGUGAGCCACUGUGCAGGUGCUGGGGAUUGAACCUGGGUCCCCUGGAAGAGCAGCCAGCGCUCUUAACUGCUACUGAGAUAUCUUUCCAGUCCCCCUCUAGAUGUGUUUUAUAUUCAAAUUCAUUCCAAUCUUCUUGCUUCAAAGCUGGGAGUUUUAACUUCAUACAUUUGGUGAAGAUUCCUGGGCCAGAAGUCCACAAAACUUCAGCUUUGAGAAGCUGUAGUCAAAGUUGUGAUGGUUUAGUCUAGGGCAUUGGAAGGAAAUGAUGGCUCCAAAAUAAGGUCCUUUGGAAGUUCUCCCAACUCCUUAGCUCUGGUCUCAAGGUCCUUAUCUAGCUGCCUAGCCAUGAGGUUUUCUCCUCCACCCGCCCCCAUUCAACUAUCAGAGCUGACAUAUCCAUGGGAGACUAUGGGGAAGACCCUUCCCCAGGUAAGAAAUCAGUGCCCAGAAAGGUAGCAGGAAGGUCUCAGGCUAUGCUGGCUAGUUCUAUGUCAACACAAGCUAGAGUCAAUGGGAAGAGGGAACCUCAACUGAGAAAAUGCUCCCACUAGAUUGGCCUGUGGGGAAGCCUGUGGUACAUUUCUCGACUUAUGUUUCAUGUUGGAGGGCCCAGCUCACUGUGGGUGGCGCCGCCUCUGGGCUGGUGGUCCUGGAUGCUGUAAGAAAGGAGACUGAGCAAGCCACAAGGAGCAAGCCAGUAAGCAGCACCCUCCAUGGGCUUUGCUUCAGCUCCUGCCUCCAGGUUCCUGCCUUGAGCUCCUUUGAUGAUGGACUGUCAUGUAGAAAUGUCAGUGACAUAAACCGCUUCCUCCCCAAGUUGCUUUUAGUCCUGUAGUCUUAUCACAGCAAUAGAAACUCUAAUUAAAACAGGCUCAUGUAGUUUUGGGGGCAGAGGACUUAUUCCUUAAGGAUCCUAUGCCAUCUCCCUGAAGACUGCCCCAAAGAAGGCACAGACACACCAAUCCUUUCUGAGAGUUUUGCUUGCUACAAAUUCUCCAGGCUGUUAACCAAAGCCUUAGACAACAUUGGCUAUAGUGAGCUUCAGUUUCUGUUACCAUUUGCUCCACCAGGAAAGCCAACCUUGCAGUCCUAAGUGAUGCCAAUCUGGGGCAACCAACAUCUUGAGGUUUUGGUCCAAUUGGUGUCUUUAACUGGCACUUGGAACUGCUGUUGUGAAUUUGCACCUUCUCCCAAUCCUAAGAUUUUGGAAAAAGCAGCAGAGAUUUUUGACAUAUUGAGGUACUAAUGGGCCCUAUUGAGGUUUAUUAAAAGCUAGAGACUCUCACCUCAGUCACCAACAGAAACGCACGCACACCCUCGCUCUCGCAUCAGUUCAGAAGGUCUUCUGAGACCUCCCCCUUCCUUCCUCACGGAGGAGAAGGAUGGGAAUGGAGACUUGUUAACUGAUUUUAGGUAGGUGCUGGUAAGUCUUGUUAAAUUACAUAUCCAGAGAAGUUAUAUAGCGCAUAAAAGGUUUAUCCAUGGGUAACAUUCUUGACCUUAUUCUUAAAAAGAUAAGGUUACUCAAUUGUAGAAAAGAACAGUUGACACAGUGACUUGUAAAGUCUGGGAAUUUGUAUAGGUCAGAGACUUAAUGUGGACAAGCUGAGAAAGAAGGUGGACUUUGGUCCUCUCUUUCCAUGGUGAGUAGGGACAUUAAAUAAUGGCAUAGGCUGUGGGGACAACAGAGUGACCGGUGUUCUGUUUGGUUUGGCCCUGGGAACGUUGGACUCUGCUCAGCUUAUCUGGUUCUCUGUCUCUGAGUCCACCUGAAAGUCCUGAGUCUUAACUUCUCUUGAUGGAAAAAAACAACGAGAACUAAACUCUGAAAUAAACCGGGGGGAAAAACACGAGUGGCACUUUCCAGGAACAAGACAGAGGGGACAUGUCGGGACAUCAGCCCAGUGUCUAGGUUCCAGUGUCCUUACUGGGCAGCAGACCCCCUGUAGCCACUGCCUGGCCCCAGUUUUUUGUCUUUUGGGUUGUUGAAUCUGUGAAGUGAGGUUGUUAUACCAGGUGCUCUCUCAACCCGUGUCUUGCUGAGGGUCCCUGUGGUAAUAGAGGACAUCAUGGGUCAGACGGAGCCAGCAUCUCAGUAGGAAGGGCGGUAAUUGUCAUAAGAACAAGGAUGAUAAUGCAUUUCUAUUACUAAUGAGAUAAUGGAACUUGAGAAUAAAAUGCUAUCCUAUCUUAAAACCCCCCCCCAAAAAAAAAGGAAAAGGAAAAAGAAAAAAGAAACAGAAAAGAAAAAGAAAGAAAGAAAGGAAAGAAAAAAAGCUUGCCUGUUACUAGACACCUUGUUUGUGGCUUAAGUCUGAAGAAGAGUACUUUAUACGGUUUGUUUGUUUGUUUGUUUGUUUGUUUGUUUUUUAACCAUCAUGGCUGGCACAUGACGGUACCCAGUCUGGGUCGGGUGUACAGAUGAAGGUUACUGGUAAUCUGUAAUUACAAAAACAAUAGCCCCCAGCAAAAGCUGCGUGAUUUAUUCUAGGAUGCACUGUCUAGAACCCGUCUUGUCCCCAUCUUGUUUUUCCCACUGGGAACCUCCUCCCAUGUUUGAAUAGUUCCCCUUCUGUUAGUGGCAGCCUCGACAAAUUAGGAUUUGGGACCAACUAUCCUUCUGCAAGCCAACUCCUCUAUUGAGAUUCUCCCUGGGUUUGAAAUGGCAGGCUCUCUGGCAUCUAGCUUUCUGGCCUACUUUAUAGUUCUCAGAACUCCCUGCUUUUCCUUCUGGGACAAAGCUUCCUACUUUGUCCCCGGGGAGAAGGAUCCCUGGAAUUGAGGACUGAAGCAGUUUCUGUGACAGAUGUUGAAUUGUCACCGUUUUGCAUUUCCUGCCUGAACCUGCCGAGCUGUGGGACCUGUGGCCCUGAACUCCAACCUCACCUCUUCCAGGUCUGUCCGGCAACGCAGUAAACAGCAUGCCAGAGGAGGCCAGCAUUCCUGCAGGCCUGCCUGUGGUCAGGGACUUUUGUUCCUUUACACAUAAGACUUCACGAUGUCCACUCGGUUACAGGGUCAGUGGCCUCUCUAGGUGUUGGCUUUUGGUUAGACAGAGCUGGGCUGGGCUGAACGUUGUACUGGACGAGGAAAGGAAUCUAUUAGCAAGUCCUUGCAUGCAGAACGGAUGUCAAGGGCUUUCACAAACAACCCUGGCUUCUCCCAGUUCACCACAGAAGGAUGGGGGGGGGGGGGUGUGGAAAGGAGUCCACAGCUUUGUUUCACCGAAGGGUUCGAAGAGUCUUUGCUCAGAUCCUCAUUCUGAAAUGUAGCCUCUAUGCGCUAUGAAGGAAAUGAUAGCCUUCCCCUCCCUCCUCCCUUUCCCUCUCCUUCUCUAGUCCGUUUACUAGAAACAAACAAACAACAACAGAUCCAUUUCUGUCCCUUUUCUCUUUGAGUGACUGGGGCUGAAGAGCAUAAGAGCCUGAGGCUGUGGAGGCUCCUGGAGGACAAGGAGAGUAAUCAUGCAUGGAAGCAAUGGGAAGGAAGGAUGAGCUCCUGCUCUCAUGACCCAACCCUGAUUAAACCUUCAACUCCUAGGAUGCCCUAACUCAUCUAUGAAUCAAUUUGGAGAUAACUGAGAUUUGCAUAAUGCUGGCUCCUAUGCUCCACAUUCACGUCUCAGCAGCCCCAUCCAAGAUUCUGCAGCCGGGCACUCCCUCCUCCCCCAGGCGGACCAGGUCCUCAGACAGCAGAACUGGCAGCAGAGGUGAAGUGAGGUGACGGAAUGCCAAUGGGGAAAAGGCAGGGCUGGCGUCCGUCCACACCCGUUACCACCUCAGUGUGACUCCAGAAAAGCCUUCUCGGCCUGAGUGUCAAGUGACUCCAGACUAUAUCCUACCGCCUGCUGUGGGAAUAUAGACCUCCUGCAUAAGGACCCAUGAGAAGGUCAGGGGACAGAACACAGAACAGCAGCCGGCACGUUUGCCUCAUGUCCCUGCAAAAAUCCCCUGGUAAACCAAUGGUCUCUAAAGCGGCCAGCAUGCAACUCCUUUCUCCAGGAUACCAUCUGUUGGGAUGGUUUAGUGAUAACUUACUGCUAUUGCAAAAGACGAGCAAACCAGCAUUUGCGCUCAAUGUGUCAGUUGGCCCUGUUUCCUUACCUGGGUCCACAGGUCAGACAGUAAUAUGUGGACCUCUGAGGUACCCUGAGGGAAAACGGGGAACAAAUGAUGGGCAAAGGAAAGGAGUGCUGGAUGCUUGCGGCACCCUGUCCCUGUCUUUCGCCUUUUGACAGUUUUGCUUCCGUGUUUAGGGUUUUAUGUGUGUCCGGGUUACAAGGAUGUGUUAAGUUAGAACAUCUGACCUUUGGGCUGACGAGCUGACUCAGUAGGCAAAGCAGGUUUCAAUCUGACAACUUGAAUUUGGUCUCCAGAACCUCCAUGGUUGGAAGGACGGAACUGACUCCUGAAAGUUGACCUCUGACCUUCGAACCGUGACAUAUGAGAUACGUGGUGCUUGUUGCUUGGACACAUACAGACCUAACGUGCACAAUAAGUAAAGUUUAAAAAAGAAAAAAACAAACCAAAAGCAGUACAACUUUCUCUGUACCCCUCACAAGACAUACAUGUGCCUUCAAAGCAUUCUUGUCAGAGACCGGAAUUAACAAUGGAAAAGACACCCUCGUUUGUGUUCAAACACCAGUGCACAAACCAAAGCAGCAAAAUUACCAUGUUGACUGGGCCUGGCAUGAGCUCCUCUCUGUCGGCUAAACUAUGAAGCAAGCUCAUGCCUGGUACAGAGGUCCAGGCUACUGGUUCUUGCAC